This 462-nucleotide ribosomal RNA is filed under the name uncultured bacterium. Its description in RNAcentral is "partial 16S ribosomal RNA". It matches the Rfam family "Bacterial small subunit ribosomal RNA", at positions 28 to 507 of the family's 1533-position model. The record is from RNAcentral.
GAUGAACGCUGACAGAAUGCUUAACACAUGCUAGUCAUUGGCGAAGCUGCGCUUGCGCAGUCUAGCCAAGGCGGACGGGUGAGUAACGCGUAAGGAACUUGCCCUGCAGACAGGGAUAACAGACGGAAACGACUGAUAACACCUGGUAUUGUCAGGCUGGCGCAUGCCGGCCUGAUGAAAGGAGACGCUGCAGGAGAGCCUUGCGUCCUAUUAGCUAGUUGGUGGGGUAACGGCCCACCAAGGCGAUGAUAGGUAGCCGGCCUGAGAGGGUGAACGGCCACAAGGGGACUGAGAUACGGCCCUUACUCCUACGGGAGGCAGCAGUGGGGAAUAUUGGACAAUGGGGGCAACCCUGAUCCAGCAAUUCUGUGUGCACGAAGAAGGUUUUCGGAUUGUAAAGUGCUUUCAGCAGGGAAGAAGAAAGUGACGGUACCUGCAGAAGAAGCGACGGCUAAAUACGUG